CAACUUUCAGUGAUGGAUAUCUUGGCUCGAGCACCUGUGAAGGGCGCAGCGAAGCGCGAUAGUCUUUGUGAAUUGCAGAACUCCGUGAACCAAUGGCCUCCUGAACGUACGUUGCGCUCUCGGGAUUUCCUGAGAGUAUGCCUGCUUCAGUG
Molecule: ribosomal RNA, 152 nt
Filed under: Symbiodinium sp. 1679
Lineage: Eukaryota; Dinophyceae; Suessiales; Symbiodiniaceae
Description: 5.8S ribosomal RNA
Rfam family: 5.8S ribosomal RNA
About the family: 5.8S ribosomal RNA (5.8S rRNA) is a component of the large subunit of the eukaryotic ribosome. It is transcribed by RNA polymerase I as part of the 45S precursor that also contains 18S and 28S rRNA.
Source: RNAcentral